UACGGAGGGUGAAAGCGUUAUCCGGAUUCACUGGGUUUAAAGGGUGCGUAGGUGGGCAGGUAAGUCAGUGGUGAAAUCUCCGGGCUUAACCCGGAAACUGCCAUUGAUACUAUCAGUCUUGAAUACCGUGGAGGUAAGCGGAAUAUGUCAUGUAGCGGUGAAAUGCUUAGAUAUGACAUAGAACACCAAUUGCGAAGGCAGCUUACUACCCGAAUAUUGACACUGAGGCACGAAAGCGUGGGGAUCAAACAGG
RNAcentral lists this ribosomal RNA (253 nucleotides) under uncultured bacterium. Its description in RNAcentral is "partial 16S ribosomal RNA". It matches the Rfam family "Bacterial small subunit ribosomal RNA", at positions 524 to 776 of the family's 1533-position model. The record is from RNAcentral.